UAAAACCCAAAUAAAAUAUAUAUAUAACUAAAGUCCAAACGUCCAGUUAUACAAACAAUGACCCAAAUACCUCGGCCCAAUUACAUUGAAGCCCAAAACAAAAAUAAUCACAAACAGAAACCCUAGCUAGCCUAUCGCGCCGCACAGCCUCCAGCGCCUUCGGUCUUCCUCUCUUCGCGCGCCACGCCACCACCUCCGUACGGCAGUUCUUGCGCAACACACAAACAAACAGCAAGAGAAAAGCAUAAAAAAAAAAAACAGAAAGAAAAAAGAAAUUUGUAUUCUUUUUUAUAUUUCUUUUAUUUUUGGGUUAUAAAAACCCCCAUGGAUGUACUUGAUCUUUCCUUUUUUACAGAGAGAGAUAUGGAAUAAAAAAGAUUAAAAGAAAAAGAGAAAAAGAGCAGAUUUAAGAGGUAUAUUGAUUUUUUUUUCUUUUUCGUUUUUCUUUACUGUUUUCUUUCUCUUUUUGCUUCUUUACGAAUACACUAAACAAAGAAAAAGAUAGGCUUAAGGAUGAGAGUUUACCUUCAGAGUGCGACGGUCGGAUCCCUGUUUCUCUCGUUACAAUCGGAGCAGAUAGGGAUCUAAGGGGUUGAGUUGCGAUAGUAGAUGAAAAACCAAAAGCGGCGCUCCCACUUUCUUCUGCGUUUUGAA
RNAcentral lists this long non-coding RNA (654 nucleotides) under Gossypium raimondii (Peruvian cotton). RNAcentral's name for it is "long non-coding RNA (GRAI_LNC005507)". The record is from RNAcentral. Lineage: Eukaryota; Viridiplantae; Streptophyta; Magnoliopsida; Malvales; Malvaceae.